AGAGUUUGAUCCUGGCUCAGGAUGAACGCUAGCUACAGGCUUAACACAUGCAAGUCGAGGGGCAGCAUUUCAGUUUGCUUGCAAACUGGAGAUGGCGACCGGCGCACGGGUGAGUAACACGUAUCCAACCUGCCGAUAACUCGGGGAUAGCCUUUCGAAAGAAAGAUUAAUACCCGAUGGUAUAAUCAGACCGCAUGGUCUUGUUAUUAAAGAAUUUCGGUUAUCGAUGGGGAUGCGUUCCAUUAGGCAGUUGGUGAGGUAACGGCUCACCAAACCUUCGAUGGAUAGGGGUUCUGAGAGGAAGGUCCCCCACAUUGGAACUGAGACACGGUCCAAACUCCUACGGGAGGCAGCAGUGAGGAAUAUUGGUCAAUGGGCGCAGGCCUGAACCAGCCAAGUAGCGUGAAGGAUGACUGCCCUAUGGGUUGUAAACUUCUUUUAUAUGGGAAUAAAGUUUUCCACGUGUGGAAUUUUGUAUGUACCAUAUGAAUAAG
This 494-nucleotide ribosomal RNA is filed under the name Bacteroides thetaiotaomicron. RNAcentral's name for it is "bacterial SSU rRNA". It matches the Rfam family "Bacterial small subunit ribosomal RNA", at positions 8 to 490 of the family's 1533-position model. Lineage: Bacteria; Pseudomonadati; Bacteroidota; Bacteroidia; Bacteroidales; Bacteroidaceae. The record is from RNAcentral.